UCAGUUUUGCAUAGUUGCACUAC
RNAcentral lists this microRNA (23 nucleotides) under Xenopus laevis (African clawed frog). RNAcentral's name for it is "xla-miR-19a-5p". Its record names the gene xla-miR-19a-5p. Lineage: Eukaryota; Metazoa; Chordata; Amphibia; Anura; Pipidae. The record is from miRBase by way of RNAcentral.